GAUGAAGAACGCAGCGAAAUGCGAAAAGUAAUGUGAAUUGCAGAAUUCAGUGAAUCAUCGAAUCUUUGAACGCACAUUGCGCCCGCUGGUACUCCGGCGGGCACGCCUGUCCGAGCGUCAUUUCAACCCUCAAGCCCUCCUUCGGGAUGGGCCUGGUGUUGGGGCUCGGCCGCCAUCUCCGGGGCCGUCCCCUAAAUACAGUGGCGGUCACGUCGCGACUCCUUUGCGUAGUAGAAACACCUCGCUCCGGAUAGCAACGCGGUCCACGCCGUAAAACCACCAAUUUUCAAUGGUUGACCUCGGAUCAGGUGGGAAUACCCGCUGAACUUAAGCAUAUCAAUAAGCGGAGGA
This 351-nucleotide unclassified non-coding RNA is filed under the name soil metagenome. RNAcentral describes it as "partial contains 5.8S ribosomal RNA, internal transcribed spacer 2, and large subunit ribosomal RNA". The stretch from base 1 to 120 matches the Rfam family "5.8S ribosomal RNA", at positions 35 to 154 of the family's 154-position model. The record is from RNAcentral.